GUGUCAGCCGCGGUAAUACGUAGGUGGCAAGCGUUGUCCGGAAUUAUUGGGCGUAAAGAGCAUGUAGGCGGGCCUUUAAGUCCGACGUGAAAAUGCGGGGCUCAACCCCGUCUGGCGUUGGAUACUGGAGGUCUUGAGUGCAGGAGAGGAAAGGGGAAUUCCCAGUGUAGCGGUGAAAUGCGUAGAUAUUGGGAGGAACACCAGUGGCGAAGGCGCCUUUCUGGACUGUGUCUGACGCUCAGAUGCGAAAGCUAGGGUAGCAAACGGGAUUAGAUACCCCGGUAGUCCUAGCCGUAAACGAUGGGUACUAGGUGUGGGAGGUAUCGACUCCUUCCGUGCCGGAGUUAACGCAAUAAGUACCCCGCCUGGGGACUACGAUCGCAAGAUUGAAACUCAAAGAAAUUGACGG
RNAcentral lists this ribosomal RNA (409 nucleotides) under uncultured bacterium. RNAcentral describes it as "bacterial SSU rRNA". It matches the Rfam family "Bacterial small subunit ribosomal RNA", at positions 505 to 916 of the family's 1533-position model. The record is from RNAcentral.